This 112-nucleotide small nucleolar RNA is filed under the name Sorex araneus (European shrew). Lineage: Eukaryota; Metazoa; Chordata; Mammalia; Eulipotyphla; Soricidae. The record is from RNAcentral.
CAGGAGGGUAAAGUAAGACAAAAAUUAUUGGCAGUGCCUCAUAAAAGUAUUUUGAUUUGCUUUACUCGUAGGACUACUUGUUAGAUCUGUGGGGAAGAACUAACAUACAGCU